AUUGAGGGUCAGCUGUGAAAAUCCAAAGUGGUAAUUGAUAGUAAUUUGAAUCUUCACUUAAGUGACUGUUGAAAGGUCUUGGAGAGAACAAAGGGGAAGUGUUUAUCUCACAUAUUUUUUUUUUGGUCUGUUUUUCAUGGGGUAGGAGAAACAGGUUAUAUAUUUUCAGAAGAUGGUUGUAUAACCUGGUAGAAUUUUUUUUCUUUCUUUCUUUUCUUUUGUGCCCUUCUGUGAUGGAACCUGUCCAUCCGUUUUUCUGUCUUUGUGAUCAGCAAAAAAUAUGUGAAGCAAUCUCCUUGGCAGAUAAGAAUCUGGAUGUGUGAUUGUGUUUCCAGUCAGCUAGCUUAAUUUCUGCGUUAGUAUCAUGCAGGUCCUGAAGAAAGCUAAACCAAAACCAAAACCAUACAGGAGAAACUGCUGCAUGGAUGUGACAAAGAAUGAAUGAGUUGGGACAGCAGAAAUCCUGUUGCCUUUUUGAAGAUGUGAAGAAUGCAUAUACAGUUGAAAACUAUUGUCAAAUUUAUUUUCAGCAGAAAUAUGUACAGAUAACUUCCAAUGGUGUGACUUCUAGAAAAAAUCCACUGGCAAUCCAAAAGAACAUGGUGUGUGGUGUGUAUUCUUCAUAUCUGAAUGCGUUUCAAAACCAAAGACAGAGUUCACUUUUGCAUCCAGUACAUUCUUAGAUGUCAUUCUAAGAGUGAGUUACCUGUGACUCCUCUGACAUCUAGCUGGGAUGACUAUUAUGAUGUCUUCGUUGCCAAAACACCUUUAUCAGUGUUUGGUAGCAAUGUAUAUGUCCUUAGGAAAGUUCACAACUGUAGCAAAUAUUUUAAAAUAUUUAAUGUCAUGGAUACUAAUGUAAGUUCUUUAUUUUCUCUGUUUUGGUGAAGUUAGAGGUCCAACUUUAAAACAUAAACUCUAGUUUUUGUAAAACUUAUAUGUUUCUCAUCUAUAUUGUUUCCACAUUAAGGUUUACCUUUCUGCUUGUGAGGGAAGGCAGUUUCUGUAUUCCUACGCCGUAUAUAAGGUUUUUUAAACUGACAAUGUUUUGGUUACUGGGAAUAAUUAUUCCUUCAACUUCAAAAAAGUGUGUGAUGAGUGACUCUGCAGAAACUGCUGGAGGUGAAAGAUACUUGUAGAAAGUCAAUACAGCUGCUCUAAACUGUUGUUCUCUGUUGUGGAUGCUCAGCUGCCUUCCAUGGGAGUGAUAGCAUAUUUACAUGGGACACAGAAGCUGUUACCAUUUUGGUUUUGGAGUGGAUUAUUUCUUAGUUGCCAGCAAGUUUUGCCUUCCUUUGUGCAGGGAAACAGGAUGGCCCAAGUUCGUAGGCCAAAGAUCAGAAAAGAAGUCUCCUGCAAUUUUUGCCUCAAUUCCUGCUUAUUGGGAUGGACUGCUCUUGAGUUAGAAGGAGGUGAUCCUUUAAUAUCUUAUCCCAGAUAUCCCAGACCAUUCCAGUGUCUUAUUCCAUACCUGCCUCGCUUAUCUGUAGAUUUCCUUAAACAACUGCUCUUGGCAAAACAGUCAGGUACUGGAAUGGUUCAUCUGACCUAGUGUGACAAUUCUUGUGUUCUCAAAAUACAUACCAGAAGGUAUCCAAAUGGGGGGAAAAAAAAAAAA
This is a long non-coding RNA of Manacus vitellinus (golden-collared manakin), 1618 nucleotides long. RefSeq lists it as uncharacterized. The record is from RefSeq and is a predicted model, not a curated record. NCBI's taxonomy places the organism in Eukaryota, Metazoa, Chordata, Aves, Passeriformes, Pipridae. The transcript has 2 exons.